This is an RNA transcript of Fragaria vesca subsp. vesca, 1162 nucleotides long. RefSeq lists it as uncharacterized. Lineage: Eukaryota; Viridiplantae; Streptophyta; Magnoliopsida; Rosales; Rosaceae. The record is from RefSeq and is a predicted model, not a curated record. The transcript has 2 exons.
ACACAAAACAAAACAACAAGAAAGAGGAGGCGUCUCAAAGCUCAGAGCUAGCCCUCAUCAUAUCUCUAUUACUGCUGCUACAAAUCCCUCAUUGCUUUUAGUCUAGAACAUAGAUCUCCUACAGCUUUAUAAACAAUCACCAUCUACAUGGUGAUAAUUCCUCAUGGUCUUCAAUACAGAACUACAGAUCAAAACGUCACUGACCUAUCCUUUCAUAUAUGAGUUAUGGAUCGAUAGAAGAAGUACACCCAAGCUGGGUCAGUUCCAGCGGAGAUCGACGAUUUGGCCUGGUACUCGAUCGUUUGAGGAUGAAGUAGCUGGGCUAGAAUCUUCUUGUCUUACCGGAGAACUUGACCUUCACUGACCCCAUCUCUCCGUUUGACCUGUACUGGCAGAGCGCCUGAGGGUAUUAGUUUGUGAUAAUAAUUCUGGUACUUUAUAUCGAUUAUCAAUUCAUACUGCAUUUCCUGUUGAUGGGUUUAAUUUAUUUUUCUCAAGAAUAGAUUGACGUGGAAAUGAUGACAAUUAAAGAAAAAAGAUGUGAGCACAAGGAUUCAAAAGAAUUUGUGAAAGCUGUUUGCAUUGUAGAAGAGACGUCUUCAACACAACAUGCAUCUAUCUUUCAUAGAUCCUUCAGUUCAAUCCUUGAGGAACAUAAGUUGUCACGAGGCAGAUGCUCCCUCUCCAAACGCUUACCUGGCUUCUUCAACAAGGCCAGUGAACUUCUAGAAAAAUAUUUUCUAUCCAGAUUUUUCACCAUAUCUCUAAUACCAUGUUGUACUCGAUCAUUAUUGAUAGGGAUAAUAGAAAUAUCUUCCAUCAUAUAAAAAGAUUUUCGUUUAUUUGUGUUAGAAUUUGAUUUGUAUGGGUUGAAUGGUGUGAUGGUGCAAGUGACGGCCAAGUACUCGAGCGAGAGGAGGAGCUUCUAACCUUGCCCUUCUUCCUUAGACGCGCGAGUACUCGUCAAAAUCUUCAGUUCUCUUUGUAACUGACGCAACUGAACGUAUGUUGGUCUUUAUCAAAUGUGAAUGUUCCAGUUUUGGUUUAGUUAGGAAAGUGAUUUUCAUGGAUUUUGUAUUGAAUAGUAUUAUAGUAUGAUAUGAUGUACAAUGUAACCGGGGUGAGAGAAUAAUAAAACUUGUUAUUUGGUUUCGAUUCUUUU